UGUCAGGAUGGCCGAGUGGUCUAAGGCGCGGCGUUUAGGUCGCUGUCCGCAAGGGCGUGGGUUCGAACCCCACUCCUGACAA
Molecule: non-coding RNA, 82 nt
Organism: Hepatocystis sp. ex Piliocolobus tephrosceles
Lineage: Eukaryota; Apicomplexa; Aconoidasida; Haemosporida; Plasmodiidae
Source: the annotation of a GenBank genome assembly